GACGAACGCUGGCGGCGUGCCUAAUACAUGCAAGUCGAACGAGAGCGACCGGUGCUUGCACUGGUCAAUCUAGUGGCGAACGGGUGAGUAACACGUGGGCAACCUGCCCAUCAGAGGGGGAUAACAUCCGGAAACGGAUGCUAAAACCGCAUAGGUCUUCGAACCGCAUGGUUUGAAGAGGAGAAGAGGCGCAAGCUUCUGCUUAUGGCUGGACCCGCGGUGCAUGAGCUAGUUUGUGAGGUAACGGCUUACCAAGGCCGUGAUGCAUAGCCGACCUGACGGCGUGAUCGGACAGAUUGGGACUGAGACACGGCACAAACUCCUACGGGAGGCAGCAGUAGGGAAUCUUCCGCAAUGGACGCAAGUCUGACGGAGCAACGCCGCGUGAAUGCAGAAGGUUUUCGGAUCGUAAAACGCUGUUGUUAGAGAAGAACAAGUGCUAGAGUAACUGGUAGCGUCUUGACGGUAUCUAACCAGAAAGCCACGGCUAACUACGUG
RNAcentral lists this ribosomal RNA (498 nucleotides) under uncultured bacterium. RNAcentral describes it as "partial 16S ribosomal RNA". It matches the Rfam family "Bacterial small subunit ribosomal RNA", at positions 28 to 507 of the family's 1533-position model. The record is from RNAcentral.